UGGAAACCUGAGGGCAGCAACAAAAUGCAAACUGAGAUUACACAACAAUCGCAAUAAAACCAAAGCAGGCGACCCACAGAGCACAUCUGAGGAAUCCAAACUCCAGUGGGACAAUUUACCAGAGAUCAGUGGACAGACACGUGAGAACAUGAAGACUGUGAUUCUUGCUCUUGUGGUGUUGCUGGUUGUCAGCCAGGGUGAAGCCUUGGAGUGUUGGUGUGGAGGUGCAAAGUUAUGUUCAGGGCGUACAGAGACCUGCCGCGGUUCAAACGAUGUCUGUGCCAGUGUCCGCUAUGAAAACUAUCCUCGCAACAACUUCCAUGGUUGCUAUCAGAGAGACAAUUGCCAGAAGCUGAAUCGUCAGGGUUUAGUAUCUUGUGGAUGCUGCAAUACUGACCGAUGCCAGGCAGCGCUAUCUAGUUGUUAAAUGAAGUGAAUGACUGAAUGUCAUACAAUGUGUGUUGUUGCAUUGUCAUAAUAAAGAUCAGUCAGUUGCAA
Molecule: long non-coding RNA, 498 nt
Organism: Epinephelus lanceolatus (giant grouper)
Lineage: Eukaryota; Metazoa; Chordata; Actinopteri; Perciformes; Serranidae
Source: RefSeq, a predicted model, not a curated record